Parasteatoda tepidariorum (common house spider) is the source of this 243-nucleotide long non-coding RNA. NCBI's taxonomy places the organism in Eukaryota, Metazoa, Arthropoda, Arachnida, Araneae, Theridiidae. The record is from RefSeq and is a predicted model, not a curated record.
AUCAGACGUUAUCAUCUCCUUGUUGCCAUUCUGUAGUAGAAACUAUGGUUUAAAAUUAGUUACCAAUUCCUUAAAAGAUAGAGACCCAACUGUUAACCAUCUCCCGUAUUAUUGAUUUCUCUAUCCUCUUUUCUUGUUAAACAUCGACAGAAACAAAACCUCGGAUAAAACCACAAAGUAUCUCUUACUCUUUCAAAAUGCCUCGCCAGAUAAUGGAAAUCAAAGAAUUUCUUCUAACAGCAA